UACCAGGGUCCCAAGGUCAGAAUCCACCUGUGCUUGCACAGAGGUGGAUAACUGACCUUGGGACCCGCCAAAAUAUGAGGAAGAAGUGGGGCAGGGGCCCCAUGAAUUCCGAAUAUUUUGCAGAAUUGCGCAAGCACGAAGUGCGCAGCAAUUCGUCUGGU
RNAcentral lists this small RNA (161 nucleotides) under uncultured Blautia sp. RNAcentral describes it as "Clostridiales-1 RNA". It matches the Rfam family "Clostridiales-1 RNA". Lineage: Bacteria; Bacillati; Bacillota; Clostridia; Lachnospirales; Lachnospiraceae. The record is from RNAcentral.